Penaeus vannamei (Pacific white shrimp) is the source of this 163-nucleotide non-coding RNA. NCBI's taxonomy places the organism in Eukaryota, Metazoa, Arthropoda, Malacostraca, Decapoda, Penaeidae. The record is from RefSeq and is a predicted model, not a curated record.
GACCCCGUUAACGGACGCCAGGUCUUCCACCUCCAGUGUGGACAUGGCAGUGGUGGCAUAAACAUAACUGAGGACUGAGUAACAGUGAAUGAAGAUUGCAAUGACUCGGAAAAGCCCAGCCACUGGACGCCUCCCCAGGCUCGAGUCGGCGCAGCCAGGGUCG